UGACAGAAUUUAAGGAUGCCAAACCAUUGA
RNAcentral lists this non-coding RNA (30 nucleotides) under Mus musculus (house mouse). The record is from RNAcentral. Lineage: Eukaryota; Metazoa; Chordata; Mammalia; Rodentia; Muridae.